Neogale vison (American mink) is the source of this 1545-nucleotide long non-coding RNA. RefSeq lists it as uncharacterized. NCBI's taxonomy places the organism in Eukaryota, Metazoa, Chordata, Mammalia, Carnivora, Mustelidae. The transcript is spliced from 3 exons. The record is from RefSeq and is a predicted model, not a curated record.
UGAGCAGAGAGCCCGAAGUGGGGCUGGAUCGCAGGACCCUGGGGUCAUGACCUGAGCUGGAGGCAGAUGCUUCAGCGACUGAGUCCCCCUGGGUGCCCCACGGCUGUUUCUUCUUAUGGGAAUGGCUUCAUCACCGGGACGACAGAUUUUCCUGGUCCUGCUGUCAAGUGCCCACUGGCCUAGGAAGAUUCCAGCGUUCAUUUCAAAGAGUUGGAGCUGAAGAAACCAACAACCCAGAAAUGCCUAAGGGAACAGACAAGACAAAAUUGAAAGCCCAUUCAUUCACCAAAGGAUCAGGAAAGAGGGCGGAUCCCAGGACCCUGAGAUCAGGAUCUGAGUGGAAAUCCGGAGUCCGACACUCAGCCGACUGGGCCACCCCAGCGCCCCCCAACGAACCUUUUAGAUCACAAGUCAGUAGUCCAGCCAAACACUCAGAAAAGGCUGGGGCACCCCCAUCCGUACCAUCAAGAUCUCAUAGGAGUGGGGACUCUCAUUCCUGCCAGGAGUGACGAGCCCUCCCCCUGGGCAGUGCCCGUGGAGGCUGCCCCCGGAGUCUGGCUUCCGCCUUCACCUGUCAGGGAAGGGAAAGCAUGUGCCCCAGCCCCCUGGGCCCUACUGGGACAAAAGAACCAGCUCAAAGGGAAGAUUUAAGGAAGAUCCAGUGUCUCAUAGCACAGGGUGGAAAUGUCCAGGUUUUAAUAAAACAAAAAACUCAUCAUAUAAGAACGAGGGAGAUCUCCAACCGAGUCAAAAAGGACAAUCACAAGAGGCCAGCCCAGAGCUGACAGAGGUGGUCAUGUUACCCCAAGGGCCUGAAAGCCAUCCAGAGCCUGCUUCCGUGAACAAUCACAAACCCCUAAACAAAUGAAAAAAAUAGAGGGUCUCAGCAAAAUCAAAUUUAAAGAAGACCUACAUGGAAAUCUCUGAAUGAAAAAAGUGCUGUAACAAAACCAGAAGGCUCGGGGAGCACUCCCUAGCCAGGAGGAGGGGAGAAAGGAAGCAACGGCGUGGGCAGACAGCUGCAAACACGGAACCCGGAGCACGGAGAGUGCAGAGGGAAGUGACUGGAGCCGGGCGGCCGGUGGGGCAGGAGAUGGACACCGCGCCCUCCCAGUUCUGGAAGGACAGGAGAAAGGGUGCGGCUCGCAGAGUCCCAGAAGAAGUAACGGCCGGGAGCUUCCCAAAGUCGGCAGAGACAGAAACUGGCAGGUUCUAGAAGCCAAGAGAGCCCAAACAGUAUAAACGGAAAGAGAUCCUUGCCAAGCACAACGUAACAAAAUCCUGAAAACAAAAGACAAGGAGGAAGUCUCGAAAGCAGCUGGAGGAGAGGUGGAAUCAAAGGGACAGUGGUGUCACAUCCGACCCCACGGUGGUCAGAAAGGAGGCAUCUUUUUCAAGGACUGAGAGCAAAGGAGAAGAACACGGCUGUCGAGUUCUCGGCCGCCACCCGUCCCCGCACGUGACUCUGGAGAGACAGGCUCCUGUCCCAUGUGCCGCCAGGGUGGACUCGGUUUUCUUCUGUUCCUUAAAUUACACAUAGUUGUG